GGUGUGUGGGCCUCUACGUCAUGGGCCUUGGGCUGUGGUCAAGCCCCUGGCCCGGGGUGAAGGAAUCCAGCGGUCAUCAAUUGCCCCUUCACCUUCUCGGCAGUUAUUGCUCCAACUGCCGAGGGGGUGAAUACCAAGAACUAGUAUGAUCGCGUCUGUUCAGGUUCAGGUGCCUUAAUAACAUCCUUUCAUCUUUCAGUCGUUGUGCAGCUUCUGAAUUCUAUCUGCUCUUUUCUCUUUCUGUCUUUUUUUUCUAUUCUUAUUGUCCUCUGCCGCCUUUGCUUUUUUUGUCAUCAUUAUCUGGACAUCUCCUUUCUUUCCUUUCCCGUGAAUAUCUUUUAAGAAUCUGACAUCACUGGCUUAGGGUCUAGUGUAGCUCUGCCCCGUACUAAGUCCUCAGGCUCCGAGUAUAUAUCAGCGCCAGCUUUUCUUCAUUCUUGAGCCUUCUGUUGAAAUGAGAAAUUCUUGUUUUAUCUGUGGCAGGUCUAUUCGACGCCUUCUUCAAACAGAUUGCCUUGUGCCUCAGAGGUUUGUUUUGAUUUUGCUCUUAUCAUCUUAAGGGAGAACUGUUU
This 572-nucleotide long non-coding RNA is filed under the name Manihot esculenta (cassava). RNAcentral describes it as "long non-coding RNA (MESC_LNC006368)". Lineage: Eukaryota; Viridiplantae; Streptophyta; Magnoliopsida; Malpighiales; Euphorbiaceae. The record is from RNAcentral.